UAACAUUGCCUGCUGUGAACUCUUAUUUACUAUUUAUUUAAAUAUUUAUAAACCACACUUUUCAUUUAAAAAAUACAGCAGCUCUGAUAAAAGCUGUGGUAAAAGCUUCAAAGCACCAGUAAAAGCAUUAAUGAAAGCUGGUUGGUGGUGAUGGGGAGAUCAUUUUUCAAAGGCCUGUCUGAAUAGCUCAGUUUUCAGUAGAUACCUGAAAACAGGCUGUGAUGAUUCCUGCUGAAGCCUGGGUCUCUAGUAAAGGCCGAGAGAACCCCAGGGGCCUGGGCAACCACCAGAAGUACCGCAGUGGAGGGUCUCGGUGAAGGGGGAGCAUAAAAAGUCUAGUAGUCCUUAAUGUACCUUGGACCUGAGUUUUUUAGUGCUUUGGAUAGGGCAGGGUAUACAUGAAAACUGCUUGCUGGAUUGUGUCCUGUGGGUACAAUGCCACUGCUGUUAAACGCUCAUCAAAAGUGAGUUGCCGCUGGCUGACUUCAGUUGGCUGUAGGUGUCUUGCAGUUGUGUAGUGGGCCUAAUAAAAGUGCAGCCAUUUUACUAUCUUUCCAUUUUAUAUUUACGCUGAGGAGAGGUUUGUAUUUUUAUUUUAGAAGAUAUCUGCUUAAAAGGGCCCAGGAGACCUGGAGAGACUUUGACAGGAGGAAUCAGAAGUGUACAGUCCAGUGAAGAAUUAAACUACUGGGAGUAAUAAUAUGGGCUGAUGCACUCAAUAUAGCAGUAAUGCCUUCAGAGAAGAAGAGGAAAUAAUUCAGAUCCUCUAGGCUACACUGAAGCUAAAUACAGUAUGACAAGAAAUAGGAGCAGUGCUCAUUAUGUCUGAUUGCUAAUUACCCCUUUGAAUGAUUCAGUUAUGCCUGCUACUAGAUAAUUAGUUUAGUAAUUUAUGGCUGCAGCACAAACUAGUACUUUAAUUUUCACUGCACAAUUUUCGCAACACCUACCAUUCAGAUAAUAUCGCCUCUCUUUUUAUUAUUCAGUUUUAAAUUGCUUUUUUUUUUUUUUUUUGAUAGCCUAUAUGAAAAACAGCCUUUUUGUGUGUCUCUCCUGGAUUAUCUGUCAUGGCUUUUAUGUGAAAUCACGUUCUUUAUGGAACUUAAUUCAAGCGUAAACUCUACUAAAGGUACCAGUAGCUUUAUGCUUUAUCUUGUUUUUGUUUUGCUUUCUCAGUUGAUGGCAACUUUUUAUGCCCCUUGCUGUUCUUUUGCCUUUAAAAUGACUGACACUGCGCUAAGCAACUGAUACAUGUAAAUGUUUCAAAACUCAGUAUAAAAUAAUGGAUUAAAAUAUUUGGGGGCUUCUUGAACAAUGUAUCAGUAUUUUUUGAAGUUCCAUAUUGGUUAUGUGUGACUGAGUUGCAUGACCACUUGGUAGAAAGGGUGGGUUUAAUGUGUCAGUGGGAUCAAGCAGGGGAAUCUUAACUUGCCAGCCCCAGUGAGUCAGAUAAAUUAAAGCACCAAAAGAAGCUCAACUGGCUUUAUAUAAUAAAUGGAUAGGGCAGGGAUGUAAGCAGGUGGUGAUUUCUGUGUUUGUCACAAUCAGCACUGUUUCUGUUCUACUGCAGUCAGGCUUCCACUAAAGCCUAUAUUACUCAUCUCACCAUCCACUAUCCUUGAAACUAAGACAAUUAAUUAUACAAUUAAUUUAUAUGAUUUUUAAUGGAAGGGAAACAUCAAGAACAAUGCAGAAAAUUAUCUAUAUACUGUUUGUAGACUAAAAAACUUAGUGUACACUAUUUGUAUUUGUUUAUGUGGUUUCUCUUCCAGACUUAGAUGAACAUCUGAAUUGAAGCAAUUUCUGCUCUCAUUUCCAAGUGAAUUCACUAGUUGAGGGAUGUCUGUUUCCAGCCCAUGGUGCUUUCACUUCCUGUUUUGUUUUUUGUUUUUUUUCCCAUAUUUUGUUUCUACAUUGAUCUUAUUUUUUAAAAAACAAACAAACCCAGAACAAAGAGCCCACUAAUAUGCAUUGGAAUACUUCUUUGAAUAUUUCAAAAUCCAUAUUAGGGCAACCAAAAUGCCAGAUGACAUUGUGUAAUCUUUCAAGUUCACCUGUACCCUUAAUCAGGAUAUAUUAUAAUAAAAUAUUAAGGCAAGGGGAGGGAGAGAAAAAAUGGAUGGUAUUCAAGUCAUCUGUGUUAGUAUCUGGCAAGAGUCUUAAGAAUGUAGUGUGGGAGAAGGCAGCAGACAUUCAGAUGAGACUCUGUGUGUGUGAUGUCUCCCAAGGCAUCCUGGGGAGGAGAAGCGGUAGAUUCUCUAUUUUCCACUUGUUCCCCACCUUCCAAGGAACUUGAAUAUUUCACAUAAGAAUGAAGACAGAACUGAGUAACAGCUGAUUGUUGUAUUUCUAGAAAUUGAGAAUCUACUAUUUCUGAAGAUGGAGCCUACAUGAAUUGAGUUUCCUUUGGACUAACACAGGACAAUUUAUGAAAAGUUGAUGCAUGAGUGGUUUCAUUUUAUAGUAGGAGAUUGACUAAAUGACCUUUUCAUGUGUUUGGUUAGGUCUGAUUUACAGCUUUCUUUAUGCAUUCAAAGGAAUGCACGUGGGCACAAAAGGACGUGGGAGAAAUUGCAUUUGGAUUAGGGGGAAUUUUGUACACUCCUGCAUUGAUUUUCAUUUCCUGUAUAUUAUAGUUUACAUAGAUCAACUGCACCAUACUUUGCUUUACAGCCUCUUAAGAGAAAAGGCACAGUGAAUUGGUUUGCUCCAUCUCAUCUUAGGCUUCUUUGCAGUCUUCACCAACCUGGUGCCCUCCAGAUGUUUUGGACUACAAAUCCUAUCAACUGAUAGGAUAGCUCAGAAUAUUUGAAGGGUACCAGGUUGGCAAAGGCUAACUGAGAGUUUUCAUUUUGGUUGAGACCUUCUGUCAUAAUCUCUAUGUUACAAGCUAAAGGUCACUCCCUGAGGUACAUCAGUAGCUGGCAGGUUAAGAGCUUGAAAAUAUAUACGAUGACUAACAUACAGGAUUUAAAAAGUGUGCCGUGCAAGGAUUCUUGAUAUAAGCCACAGAAUGUUAAAGAUGUUGGGGGCCUUGGAGUGGCUGCUGGUUGGCAGGAAGGUAUCAGUUUGUGUACUUGCAUUUGCAGUUUAUCAUAUUAAAACAAAAUCCAAGUAAGUAUAGGCAUGGGACUCCCACCACCACCACCAUUCACAAAACAUGCAUUCUCUUUUAUGUUUUGGAUGAUCUCCUGCAGAGCUUAGUAUUUUAAAUUUUAUAAUCAGAAGAAAGAAAAGGUCUGCACUAAACAUUGGAUUAUGACAAGCCUCUUUGCAGAAGUAAUUAUGUAAUUUUCUUGUUCAGGGACAGCAACCGAGAUGCUUGGAAUAUCAAAGUGAGAAUAAAAGCAUUCUCAAAAUCGGCGCAUUAGUAUUCCUAGCACAUUAACGCAGUUGCUGACAAAUCAGUUGGGACUAGCAGGCAAAUAUUUAGAUUAUCGAAAUGAGUUUUUCCUUAUGGGCAACAGUGCAGAUUAUGUUUGCAGGUACUAUAUUACUCUGAAAAAAAUAUUUGGCGUUAUGAGUUUAUCAGGCUUGCUGUAUCCUUGCUGUUUUAUUUUCACUGCAGUUCUGUAACUUAAUGUGUGUGGAUUUGUACUUUGUAGCAAGCUGCACUUUCCUCUUAGACUUGGAUCAAUGUUCUAAAGGGCAGCCCUGACAUUGUUGCUGUUGUUUUCCUAUGAACACCAGGGUUGUGUUUAUUAUGGAAUGAAACUAUGCCCUUUAUAGCUAGCAGUCUUGCUUGAAAUAUUAAAUGGGUCAGAGAACAAAUAAAUGCUCCCCUACAGGUUGGAUGCAGUGACUCUUAUGUUAUGCGGUUUGCUUGUGCACAUAAAGUGUUGCCUCACUCCCCCCCCCCAUUUCACCAUUACCUCCCCCCCCCCAAAUAUAAAUGUAUCCUCUGAGCAUCAUCUUGACCUUUCCAGUUUUAUUCAGUAUGAUGGUCUGGGGAUCUUUUACUUACUAACUGGACCAUUUGCACACUGCAGGAGUAGAACUAGCCAGGUGUUCAUUUUAUGCUUUAUUUUUUGUAAUUGAGCUUUUCUACAAGUAAUGAAAAUACUGCAGUAUAAUUAUCAAAAGCACAGGCGGUCUUUAUAUUUGGAUAGCUUUUCAGCAUGUACACCUAUCUGCGGAACAAACAAGCAACAGUUGUACAAGGCAUGCCCUUUCUGUACUGUACUUUGUAGCAAACUUAGCUGUUCUUUAUUUGAAGAGAACUCAAAACACAUAAAUAACAGGACUGUAUAAAUC
Molecule: non-coding RNA, 4254 nt
Organism: Podarcis lilfordi (Lilford's wall lizard)
Lineage: Eukaryota; Metazoa; Chordata; Lepidosauria; Squamata; Lacertidae
Source: the annotation of a GenBank genome assembly